GUGGGGAAUCUUGCGCAAUGGGCGAAAGCCUGACGCAGCCAUGCCGCGUGAAUGAUGAAGGUCUUAGGAUUGUAAAAUUCUUUCACCGGGGACGAUAAUGACGGUACCCGGAGAAGAAGCCCCGGCUAACUUCGUGCCAGCAGCCGCGGUAAUACGAAGGGGGCUAGCGUUGCUCGGAAUUACUGGGCGUAAAGGGCGCGUAGGCGGACAGUUUAGUCAGAGGUGAAAGCCCAGGGCUCAACCUUGGAAUUGCCUUUGAUACUGGCUGUCUUGAGUACGGGAGAGGUGAGUGGAACUCCGAGUGUAGAGGUGAAAUUCGUAGAUAUUCGGAGGAACACCAGUGGCGAAGGCGGCUUACUGGUCCAUUACUGACGCUGAGGUGCGAAAGCGUGGGGAGCAAACAGGAUUAGAAACCCCGGUAGUCC
This 425-nucleotide ribosomal RNA is filed under the name uncultured bacterium. RNAcentral describes it as "partial 16S ribosomal RNA". It matches the Rfam family "Bacterial small subunit ribosomal RNA", at positions 354 to 796 of the family's 1533-position model. The record is from RNAcentral.